Molecule: long non-coding RNA, 759 nt
Filed under: Rattus norvegicus (Norway rat)
Lineage: Eukaryota; Metazoa; Chordata; Mammalia; Rodentia; Muridae
Description: long non-coding RNA NONRATT012902
Source: RNAcentral
UCUCCUUGAGGCAUGUACAGGGGUGGGGGUGGGGGCACUAUUUGGAGGGUUGUCUUUUGAGAUACCCUCCAGAGGUGAAAGCAGGGAAAUGCUUCCUAGCAGACACCUCAACUCAGUGUUCUGCACAGGGUCCUGUCUUUGGACAGCCUGUGCUGGCUGGCUUUCUUUCCCUUGCUUCAUCCCAUCUGUGGGAAGAUUCUAGACAUAGCUGUCUCUUUAAUAGCUUCCUCUGGCAUGUUCCAUUUUCCUAGAGGAUCCCGGAAAGCCAGGGACAUGAAUUAUAAUGAAGGGGUCUCCUCACACUGGAUCACCUCUCUGAAAAGAGACACUGCUAGGGCUGCAGCUCUUAGGCUGGUAGCAAGUUCUGUUCAAUGUUUUUAAAUGAUUUUAAAAAUAGUCUGAUUUCUGUCUUUUUUUUACUGUUCAUAAAGGGUUUUAUUGCUGUGAAGAGACACCAUGACUAUGGCAACUCUUAUAAAGGAAAAGAUUUAAUUGGGGCUGGCUUAUAGUUUCAGAGGUUCAGUCCAUUAUCAUCAUAGUAGGAAGUAUGGCUGCAUGCAGGCAGACAUGGUUCCAAAGAAGGAACUGAGAGUUCUACAUCCUGAACUGAAGGCAACAGGAAAGAAACUGUGUGCCACACUGGGCAUAGCUUGAGCAUAGGAAACCUCAAAACCAGCCUCCACUGGGAUACACUUUCAACAAGGCUACACCUCCCCAUGGCCAAGCAUUCAAACGUGUGAGUCUAUGGGGGCCAUUCAU